ACCAAUGGAAGUUUCUCAACCAGAAUUACCUAGUAAUGAGGUACAUCCGAAAUAUACACCUUUCUGAAAGUCAUAUAGAGUGCGUUAUGCACCCUCAAGAUAUGAUUUCAUCAUAGAAAAUGAUAAUGAGACUAGUAUCAUUUAGGAUGAUGAUCCAUUGACUUAUUCGGAAGCCAUCAUGAGUAAGGACUCUGACAAGUGGCUUGAUGCUAUAAAAUCUGAAAUGGACCCAAUGUAUUCCAACCA
This 246-nucleotide long non-coding RNA is filed under the name Elaeis guineensis (African oil palm). Its description in RNAcentral is "long non-coding RNA (EGUI_LNC072326)". The record is from RNAcentral. Lineage: Eukaryota; Viridiplantae; Streptophyta; Magnoliopsida; Arecales; Arecaceae.